CAUCAAAUUUGGAGCAGUGGUUGCCGAGAAAAACGAUUUCUCCUUUCCCAUGUAUUCAGAUGGGAACCCCCGUGCUAAAGCUGCCAAUGCUCGUAAAUCGGAGGGGCCAAAGAAACUGAAACAAAAUAUUGUUUGUGAUGGCGCCACAACAGCUCGCCAAACGCGCGCGGUGCGAAUACGAAAGUUCGUCAACGGUGAGAUACGAGCGCGGGAAACUGCUGCCUGUGGGCAAGCUGGCGCCCGCUUGACAGCUCAACGUUUUCCGUUUGUGCUUACGAGGCGGCGUUACUUGACAGAAGAUAAUAAUACUUUGAUGCUCUUCUCACGCCUACAAAUGAGGGCGACGUGAUAAACAGCACAGCACGCGAAAGGGUACGUGAACGCCAACGAACGGCGUGCCGCCAACAACUGCAUGGGCUGUCAUUUCAGUGUAUUCUUCCCGCCUUUGGAAGAAGCAUUUUGGACUAAAGCUACCUUGAUAUGUACAAAACAUGGGAGACUACACACAGGAUUAUGAAUGGCUACCUGAACGCUGCUUGAAGCAGCGAGCUCUACAGCACCACUCAUGCCCCUUUCCAUGGGUUGGCAAGAGGAGCAGUGGCACACAACUCUACAGGCACUUGUGCUUUUCAUCAUCUUUGGAGGAGAUGCAUUGGGUGCUCCAUACCAUGCACUGCCAUUUCAAUACACCAAGGCUUUUCGUGUGGAUUCCUUCCCUUUUCAAGGCCACCACUGCUUGCACAGCAUCAUCAGCCUACCUUCCUUGAUAUUCAUGUUCCAUAUGGCAGAAGAAAAUACAAAAUGCCUACUCUGAAAUACAUGCGUGGCUCCAUGCAGCACUCGCUGCCGUCAGGGUGCUAGGACUUUGUGCAAAGAAAAUGUUCGUAAUGAUGCUAUAUGUGUACAGCCUUGGUGGUUAAGUGUUGCCCGCUUCGCCUAUAAGAGAAUUUCACACUUAUGGGCACUGUUAAAGGUUCGUGUGUUAAAUGUUUGACAUCCUAUAGAAAUUUUCAUGUUUCAGUAUAACAGCAAAAUUAUAGUUCAAUUGCUGCUUUUUGUGAUAUGCAAUAUACAGCUGAAGGUGAUUAGCAGUGGUGAAACAGGUGUUGUAUGAGGUGGUAAAUUGUUUUCAACAGGGGAGUUGUCUUUGCUAGGGCAACAACUGUUUUCCUUGGCAGCAUUUAUAUAGUUCACUUAUCCCCACUCCAUAGACAUCUAGGAGAAUAAGCAGGGUUGCAUAGAGUAGGGUGAGGUAAGUUGGAAUGCUCAACAUGAGGGUUUAGUUGGGAAGGUAAGGUGUGUGGAAUAGGGGAGUUUCCUCAGACCACUCAGAUUGCUGACAUUGGUCUUGGUCUUUGUGCCGGUGUUGGUUAUAUAACACAAGGCGCGUUUUGAGGUAAGAUAUCUUGAAAAAAAACUCCUUAUAUUCGUGUAAAUUCGGUAUGUGCCCCUGGGGCUGCAAUAGGUUAGCACCACUGAGGCCACUGGUUAUGUGCCCCUGGGGCCACUGCAUGGGCAUAUGCAGGUCGUCAAUGAACCUCUUUGACACCAACUUGUGUAUGUGCCACUCUUUAAUGAACCUGUUUGAUGCCAACUAGGGUCAGGUGGCAUCGCAACAAGCACCUAUGUAGUGAUAUCUACAUAUGCAUCGUUGUCAGCUGGAGUUGUCUACUAGACCCCUUGUUGGAUUGUUAACCUCAACCUGAGACAUCACCUGCUUGACUACUGUUACAUUGUGACCAUCUUGCUGUGAACUUUUGUCAUGUUCACUAGUUGGGUAGUUUGUAUUUCAAGUAUUGCACAUUGCUAAGGAAAUUGAUUCAGAGUGGGGUGUGCGACCUUGGCUUCUUUUUUCUUUGCAGCAGCAUAUUACAUGCGAGCAUAGCAUGUGAGAGUAAGUUGUAUGUAGAUAUCAAUUCGAAAUAGCAUAGGUAUUCAAAAGUACUUUCACUGUUUAUUUUCCUUCGGGUCAUUGCUGCUGUCAGGCCUACAUUGCAUCAUUCAUUGUAGCAUGCUCGUUUACUGGCAAAAAGAAGUGUGACCUGUUCAAACAGAUACAAGAAUCGCCGAAUAGCUCAUGGUGUUGUCUUGAGCUACUCCCUUUUGGUCUUGGCUGCACUUGUGGAUUUAUAAGUGUACUGAAUGAAGCUUGUCAAAUGCUUGAAUUCCCUGUCAUACUUGUUUGCUUGUUUAUAUCCAAUUUAUUGAAUCAAUUCACUUCACUAUGCCAACAAUUGCUGAUUGUAUUUAAUGCUGGCACAUUUGGUUGUGGAAUUCCAAUAAAUUUCCAGACACUUUAUUGCUUUGUCAUACAUCUCGGAGCUCCUCAAAGGGCCCAUUCUACUAAACACACAUACAAAAAAAAACUCCCUUCAGCCUCAUAAAAUUCCCAAAAGGAGCCUAAUAAACUCCCAGAGCUUCCUGUAAAAGCUCUGAAAAGGAGCUAAAAAGUACUCCCAAAACAUUUGUUUAAAACUCCCUAACUAAAACAAAGCUCCUUAAAAGUGUGAAGAGGAACUCCCAGACAUUCUCCUAUAUAUUCCCAUAAAAAGCAAAAAAUUAAUUCCCAAAGCUAUCCAUAAAAGCUCCCUUAAGCAAAGCUCCCAAAAUAUGGAAGCAAUUGCUCCCAUAUUUACACCUAAGCACUCCCAUAAAAAGUAAAAAUAAUUUCCCAAAGGCAUCCUUAAAAAGUCCCUCAAGAAGCCACGCCGCUCGGAAAAUAUGUUUGUAAUAGCUCCCAUCGCUUCUCCUAUAAAUUCCCAAAAGAAGCAAAAUAAAAUACCCAAGCCAACCUAUAAAGGCACCCAGGGUACCUCAUAAAACCUCCCACAGUCCCGGUGUUCAAAGCAGUAAUAAAAAACUCCUAACUUUCCUCAUAAAGACGCCAGCAGCGACAUCCUUUAAAGGAACUAUACAAAACUCCCACGGUACCCCCAAAAAAUUCCAACAACAAGGGUGUGAAUAAAAACUCCAUUCUGAUGGAGUUUCUUGUGCUCCCAUUAGGGUGUGAGUUAUGCAACGAGCCUAAAACUCCCUAAAAGGGUAAAACCUGUUAA
Dermacentor silvarum is the source of this 3056-nucleotide long non-coding RNA. RefSeq lists it as uncharacterized. NCBI's taxonomy places the organism in Eukaryota, Metazoa, Arthropoda, Arachnida, Ixodida, Ixodidae. The transcript has 4 exons. The record is from RefSeq and is a predicted model, not a curated record.